CCUACGGGUGGCAGCAGUAGGGAAUAUUGCUCAAUGCGGGAAACCCUGACGCAGCAACGCCGCGUGGAGGAUGAAGGUUUUCGGAUUGUAAACUCCUUUUGUUAGAGAAGAUAAUGACGGUAUCUAACGAAUAAGCACCGGCUAACUCCGUGCCAGCAGCCGCGGUAAUACGGAGGGUGCAAGCGUUACUCGGAAGCACUGGGCGUAAAGAGCGCGUAGGCGGGGUAGCAAGUCAGAUGUGAAAGCCUAGGGCUUAACCAUAGAACGGCAAGUGAAACUGUUAUACUAGAGUAUGGGAGAGGAAGGUAGAAUUCUUGGUGUAGGGGUAAAAUCCGUAGAGAUCAAGAGGAAUACUGUUAGCGAAGGCGACCAGCUAGAACAAAACUGACGCUGAUGCGCGAAAGCGUGGGUAGCAAACAGGAUUAGAUACCCGUGUAGUC
RNAcentral lists this ribosomal RNA (440 nucleotides) under uncultured bacterium. Its description in RNAcentral is "partial 16S ribosomal RNA". It matches the Rfam family "Bacterial small subunit ribosomal RNA", at positions 338 to 795 of the family's 1533-position model. The record is from RNAcentral.